This 404-nucleotide ribosomal RNA is filed under the name Bacillus sp. (in: firmicutes). Its description in RNAcentral is "bacterial SSU rRNA". It matches the Rfam family "Bacterial small subunit ribosomal RNA", at positions 844 to 1249 of the family's 1533-position model. The record is from RNAcentral. Lineage: Bacteria; Bacillati; Bacillota; Bacilli; Caryophanales; Bacillaceae.
UGCUGCAGCUAACGCAUUAAGCACUCCGCCUGGGGAGUACGGUCGCAAGACUGAAACUCAAAGGAAUUGACGGGGGCCCGCACAAGCGGUGGAGCAUGUGGUUUAAUUCGAAGCAACGCGAAGAACCUUACCAGGUCUUGACAUCCUCUGACAAUCCUAGAGAUAGGACGUCCCCUUCGGGGGCAGAGUGACAGGUGGUGCAUGGUUGUCGUCAGCUCGUGUCGUGAGAUGUUGGGUUAAGUCCCGCAACGAGCGCAACCCUUGAUCUUAGUUGCCAGCAUUCAGUUGGGCACUCUAAGGUGACUGCCGGUGACAAACCGGAGGAAGGUGGGGAUGACGUCAAAUCAUCAUGCCCCUUAUGACCUGGGCUACACACGUGCUACAAUGGACAGAACAAAGGGCAG